This is a long non-coding RNA of Phyllopteryx taeniolatus (common seadragon), 668 nucleotides long. RefSeq lists it as uncharacterized. NCBI's taxonomy places the organism in Eukaryota, Metazoa, Chordata, Actinopteri, Syngnathiformes, Syngnathidae. The record is from RefSeq and is a predicted model, not a curated record. The transcript has 3 exons.
GCUGGAGACAGAGGGACUUCUGGGGAUUCAUGCAUUCAUUUCGGCAGUGGCGGGCGGUGAAUUUGGUACCCGGGUCUUCAGUGGGGACUUUGUCGAAGGCCUGCUACGACCACCACUGAUGAAAACACCAAACGAACUUCUAGAGCAGGCGUUCGCGCAGAGCCAUGGAAAUGCUAUCCGAUGGGCUGCGUUGGAAUUGAGCAUCAACAAAAGCUCAAUUCAGCAGAUGUUUCGGAAAGUGACAACGAUUCACAUGUACCGACUUCAGCUUGGUCGUUUGAAAUCCCAGCUAUGAAGGGAACAGGAGGACACAUGGCGCAGUGACGAGUUUUUUCGGGGGGUUCCCGAUGACUGCUUGUUCAGCAAUGUGGAACGUGUGGAACGUGUUGAGCUGAUGGAGCUGAUAAAGCCACCUGUCUUUGGAUGAGCAUCACGCGGGACUUGAAUGCUUCCAGGCCCGAGGUGGUGGCGUCAUACCACACGUGACUGGUUGACACAACAAAUGUAUAAAUUCACCCAAAUGGGGCUCGUGUGCGUCGUCAAUCACACAAAAUAGUUGAGAACGGUUUACAUAAGCAGUUAAAAAUGUGUUUUUGCAAGCUUUUAAAAACAAAACAUUCAAAUUUGACACACUACCCUUAAAGCUUGGUUGUAGUCAUUUUGGUUUA